This 915-nucleotide ribosomal RNA is filed under the name uncultured archaeon. Its description in RNAcentral is "bacterial SSU rRNA". It matches the Rfam family "Archaeal small subunit ribosomal RNA", at positions 1 to 897 of the family's 1478-position model. The record is from RNAcentral.
UUCCGGUUGAUCCUGCCGGACCCCACUGCUAUCGAGGUGGGACUAAGCCAUGCUAGUUGAGCGCACAGAACUAUGUCUGUGAGCGGCACACUGCUCAGUAACACGUAGCUAACCUACCCUUAGGACGUGGACAACCCCGAGAAAUUGGGGCUAAUCCGCGAUAGAUGUAUUGUCCUGGAAUGGUAUUACGUCUAAAGGUAUCCCAUACAUGUUUGGUAUAUGCCUAAGGAUGGGGCUGCGGCCGAUCAGGCUGUUGGUGAGGUAAUGGCUCACCAAACCUUUGACCGGUACGGGCCAUGAGAGUGGUAGCCCGGAGAUGGACACUGAGACAAGGGUCCAGGCCCUACGGGGCGCAGCAGGCGCGAAACCUCCUCAAUGCACUUACGUGCGAAGGGGCUACCUCGAGUGCCACCUGAUGAAGGUGGCUUUUCCUAGGUCUAAAAAGCCUUGGGAAUAAGAGGGGGGCAAGACUGGUGUCAGCCGCCGCGGUAACACCAGCCCCUCGAGUGGUGGGGAUGAUUAUUGGGCCUAAAGCGUCCGUAGCUUGCCGUAUAAGUUUCCCGUUAAAUCCAGUGUCUCAAGCGUUGGACCGCGGGAAAUACUGUACGGCUAGAGAGUGGGAGAGGUCAGCGGUAUUCUGGGGGUAGGGGCGAAAUCCUUUGAUCCCCGGAGGACCACCAGUGGCGAAGGCUGCUGUCUAGAACACGUCUGACGGUCAGGGACGAAAGCUGGGGUAGCGAACCGGAUUAGAUACCCGGGUAGUCCCAGCCGUAAACGAUGCAUGCUAGGUGUUGGGUUGGCCACGAGCCACCCCAGUGCCGCAGGGAAGCCGUUAAGCAUGCCGCCUGGGAAGUACGAUCGCAAGGUUGAAACUUAAAGGAAUUGGCGGGGGAGCACCACCAGGCGUGAAGCCUG